Molecule: non-coding RNA, 811 nt
Organism: Odocoileus virginianus texanus
Lineage: Eukaryota; Metazoa; Chordata; Mammalia; Artiodactyla; Cervidae
Source: RefSeq, a predicted model, not a curated record
AAUCUUGGGAAGCACUGGAAGUUAAACAUCCUCACAAGUUGACUGACUCCACGGAUGUGGGGUCCAUGGAUGUGUUGAGGGCCAAUUGUACUGCAUUUUGUUUAUCCAGUUCUUCGUCAAUGGACACUUGGGUUCCUUCCACCUUUUGGCUGUUGUGAAGAAUGCCCUGUGAACGUGGGUGUACAAAUUAAUAUCUGAGACCCUGCUUUCAGUUCCUUUACUACUUAGAAUUUUAACUUAAGCAAAAUAACUGGUAAAGGUUUUAACUUCUUACUUUGAUCUGUCCUUUUUCUUCUGAGGUUGGUCCCUUUUAUGCUUAUUCAAUUCCUGUUCCUUCACCCUACCCUAACCCUUGUCUUCCCGUACCACUGAUGGAGCUGCAGUAUUGUGGCUCUUUUCUGUUUACUUCCCAGGGCAGCAGCAAUUGAAACAAUGAUGAUAUCAGCAGGACUGUGCAAAGUUUCCCAGGACAAUGUCAGCCACAGAAGACACUCCUAUGCUGCAGACCGGCAGAGGGCGGGGGCUCCUCUGCUUAGCCCCACCCAUCAGCCCUGCCACGUUCUCUGCUAGGGAGCUCCAGCCUCACUGUCACCUCUCAUCCCUGCCCCCUCGCAGCUUUCCUCCCUCCAUGGCCUCUGUCUUUCCUUCACUCCUUAGUCUCAUCCUGAUUUCUUACUUUCUGUUUGAGAAGCCUGAUUCUGAACCCCAUGUGUUAAUAAGGCCACUAACUGGUAAGACUGUAUGUAACACUCGGAUUUGUCAUCAUUGGGACAGCACAGAUCAUUUGUGAAUAAAUGGAUUUCUAAAGUGA